This 836-nucleotide long non-coding RNA is filed under the name Homo sapiens (human). Its description in RNAcentral is "HSALNT0328819". The record is from RNAcentral. Lineage: Eukaryota; Metazoa; Chordata; Mammalia; Primates; Hominidae.
GCCAACUGGGGACUGAAAAAAUUCAGAGAGAGAGAACCAUGAAAGUCAAGGGCAUUGUAAGGAUGAAUUUAGAACCUCCAAUGACAGCAGGCCCUCAUUUGGAUGCUUGGAUUCUAAAAUGUUUGCUAAAAGUUGUCCCAGCACUAGAAGACAUUCUAAGCCCAAGCUUAUUCCAAGUCUUGCAAGGACAUUGAAGUUGAUGCAGCUUUCUGGCCCAGAUGGACCUGGGGAAGAACCAAGUAGGAUACUGAGUCUGUGUGGGGAUGCUGGCCAGGGUCCUGAGUCCAGAAGACUGUCCCGCUGGCUCAAAUUGGUGUGCCUUCCAGCAGAUCUUUAAGUAGGUGGGAUAGGUCACCAAAUUCAGUAAGAGAGACUGGAGUUUGAGACUGAGAUUCUCCCAGGAUCUUCUGUGGGAAGGAGGCUGAUGGGCUUAUCUUUUUGGCUAAGAUGGACGUGCAUCACCCAGCAGGUCUCUGCACCAGUGGUGUAAUUCCUCAACUUCAAAAGGAGGAGCAAAAUCUGAGACUAUACUCUCCCAGGAUCUACUGUGAAAUGGAGGCUGCUGUGCCUAUCACACUGGCUCAAGUGGGCAUGUGUCUCCCAGCAGGUCCUUGCACAAAUGGAAAGUUUUCCAACUGCAGCAGGAGAGGCUACAGAAUAGACUGGGCUCCCAUGGGAUCUACUGUGGGACAGAGGCUGAAGAAGCUGGUCUUGGCUCAGAGGAAUGUGUGUAACCCAACAAGUUUCUGCACAGGAGGUGGUAGAAAAAGAAUACAGCACAUCAUCAGGAAUUAGUUUAAACUGGGACGUGGAUGAAGCUGGAAACUAUCAUUCGC